This 1123-nucleotide ribosomal RNA is filed under the name Thamniopsis pendula. RNAcentral describes it as "partial large ribosomal RNA subunit". It matches the Rfam family "Eukaryotic large subunit ribosomal RNA", at positions 35 to 1152 of the family's 3401-position model. Lineage: Eukaryota; Viridiplantae; Streptophyta; Bryopsida; Hookeriales; Callicostaceae. The record is from RNAcentral.
UAAGCAUAUCACUAAGCGGAGGAGAAGAAACUAACCAGGAUUUCCCUAGUAACGGCGAGCGAACCGGAAAGAGCCCAGCUUGAAAAUCGUGGUGCCUCGCGCCUCGAGUUGUAGUCUGGAGAAGGUCCCUCUGCGACGCGCCGGACCCAAGUUCCCUGGAAAGGGACGUCCGAGAGGGUGAGAACCCCGUCCGUGUCCGAACCGCGUCGCUCCACGAGGACCUGUCUGCGAGUCGGGCUGUUUGGGAAUGCAGCCCUAAGCGGGUGGUAAAUUCCAUCCAAGGCUAAAUACUGGCAAGAGACCGAUAGCGAACAAGUACCGCGAGGGAAAGAUGAAAAGGACUUUGAAAAGAGANNNNNNNNNNNNNNNNNNNNNNNNNGAGGGAAGCGAAUGGAAGCUGCGGGUGCGCCCCGGUUGGAUGUGGAACGGCUUCGGCUGGUCCGCCGCUCAACGCGGGGCGCUGGUCAGCGUGGGCCGUCGCGCCGGGACAAGAGCGGGGAUUCGCUUCCCGCCUAUGCCGGUGCGGUGGCCGAGGAACGAAGCGCGCGCCUCUUUUGGCGUGGGUUCGCCCAACUGCGCGCUCGGGACGCUGGCGUAUUGAGCUCUUCAUCCGACCCGUCUUGAAACACGGACCAAGGAGUCUAACAUGUAUGCGAGCCGGUGGGCGGCAAACCCAUUGAGGCGCAAGUAACCUGACAGGUGGGACCCCGACCGCGAGGGAGGGAGCACCAUCGACCGACCGUGAUCUUCUGUGAAAGGUUUGAGUGUGAGCAUACCUGUUGGGACCCGAAAGAUGGUGAACUAUGCCUGAGCAGGGCGAAGCCAGAGGAAACUCUGGUGGAGGCUCGUAGCGAUACUGACGUGCAAAUCGUUCGUCAGACUUGGGUAUAGGGGCGAAAGACUAAUCGAACCAUCUAGUAGCUGGUUCCCUCCGAAGUUUCCCUCAGGAUAGCUGGAGCUCGUGUAAAAGUUUUAUCAGGUAAAGCGAAUGAUUAGAGGCAUCGGGGGUGUAACACCCUCGACCUAUUCUCAAACUUUAAAUAGGUAAGCCGCCGGGGUUGCUUGGUUGAACCCUGGCACAGAAUGAGAGCUCCAAGUGGGCCAUUUUUGGUAAGCAGAACUG